UUGUUUUGCAUGUUGCUUCUUUUUCAUUUUACACAAAAGCAAAUAUGUAGCUUCUUUUUCAUUUUUUCUUUCUCCAUUAUUUUUCACAUGCAUUUUUCUACUGUAAAAAACACUUAAUUUCUUUCUUCUUUUUAAUGAUACAAUUUUGAUUUUCAAAUUUAUUCAGUUUGAUUGACAAAUUGAAACUUCCAUAUAAACUCAUCCUGAAAGUCUAACCCUCUUUUAACUCUAAUUUUAGAGAAAUGGUGGCCAAAACGAUUCAUCAAAAGUUUAUGGCUCAAAAAAUAUUCUUAAAAGAUCCAAAUAUUUAGAAAUAAAAGAUCUAAAUCUCAAAAGAUGGUGGCC
This 345-nucleotide long non-coding RNA is filed under the name Brassica napus (rape). Its description in RNAcentral is "long non-coding RNA (BNAP_LNC004338)". The record is from RNAcentral. Lineage: Eukaryota; Viridiplantae; Streptophyta; Magnoliopsida; Brassicales; Brassicaceae.